UAUUACUCGCAGAAAUACGGAAAAGGAUCUGAUCCAAUAUGGUUGGAUGGAAUAGAAUGUCUCUCGUACGAGUCGACUCUUUGGCAGUGUCAUGCAAAACCUUGGGGGAAACACGACUGUCAAUAUAACUUACAUGCAGGUGUUGAAUGUAAAGAGGCCAAAAUACCGGACCGGUCCAGUGUAAAGGUUUGCGAAACACGCAAUAUAUCUCAAACUGUUUAUGCAGCAGAACCAACGUUGCGCGUCUCUGGCGGCAACACCAGUUGCUCCGGAAGGUUGGAGAUAGAGUUCAAUAAUAUCUGGGGCACGAUAUGUGAUGAUUCCUGGGAUCUGGCCGAUGCCAAUGUGGCGUGCAGGCAGUUGGGCUGUGGCUCUGCCCUUUUGACUGGAGUGCCGGAUAAAAUUAUCCAGGACGUCGGCGAUCUUUGGUUGGACGAAGUGAAAUGCAAAGGAAGUGAAUCUUUCCUGUCCAGUUGUCCUUCCUCUCCACUCGGUCAGCAUGACUGUGAUCAUAAGGAAGAUGUCUUUGUUGUUU
Hypanus sabinus (Atlantic stingray) is the source of this 535-nucleotide long non-coding RNA. RefSeq lists it as uncharacterized. Lineage: Eukaryota; Metazoa; Chordata; Chondrichthyes; Myliobatiformes; Dasyatidae. The record is from RefSeq and is a predicted model, not a curated record. The transcript is spliced from 3 exons.